UUAAGCGACUAAGCGUACACGGUGGAUGCCCUGGCAGUCAGAGGCGAUGAAGGACGUGCUAAUCUGCGAUAAGCGUCGGUAAGGUGAUAUGAACCGUUAUAACCGGCGAUUUCCGAAUGGGGAAACCCAGUGUGUUUCGACACACUAUCAUUAACUGAAUCCAUAGGUUAAUGAGGCGAACCGGGGGAACUGAAACAUCUAAGUACCCCGAGGAAAAGAAAUCAACCGAGAUUCCCCCAGUAGCGGCGAGCGAACGGGGAGCAGCCCAGAGCCUGAAUCAGUGUGUGUGUUAGUGGAAGCGUCUGGAAAGGCGCGCGAUACAGGGUGACAGCCCCGUACACAAAAAUGCACAUGCUGUGAGCUCGAUGAGUAGGGCGGGACACGUGGUAUCCUGUCUGAAUAUGGGGGGACCAUCCUCCAAGGCUAAAUACUCCUGACUGACCGAUAGUGAACCAGUACCGUGAGGGAAAGGCGAAAAGAACCCCGGCGAGGGGAGUGAAAAAGAACCUGAAACCGUGUACGUACAAGCAGUGGGAGCACGCUUAGGCGUGUGACUGCGUACCUUUUGUAUAAUGGGUCAGCGACUUAUAUUCUGUAGCAAGGUUAACCGAAUAGGGGAGCCGAAGGGAAACCGAGUCUUAACUGGGCGUUAAGUUGCAGGGUAUAGACCCGAAACCCGGUGAUCUAGCCAUGGGCAGGUUGAAGGUUGGGUAACACUAACUGGAGGACCGAACCGACUAAUGUUGAAAAAUUAGCGGAUGACUUGUGGCUGGGGGUGAAAGGCCAAUCAAACCGGGAGAUAGCUGGUUCUCCCCGAAAGCUAUUUAGGUAGCGCCUCGUGAAUUCAUCUCCGGGGGUAGAGCACUGUUUCGGCAAGGGGGUCAUCCCGACUUACCAACCCGAUGCAAACUGCGAAUACCGGAGAAUGUUAUCACGGGAGACACACGGCGGGUGCUAACGUCCGUCGUGAAGAGGGAAACAACCCAGACCGCCAGCUAAGGUCCCAAAGUCAUGGUUAAGUGGGAAACGAUGUGGGAAGGCCCAGACAGCCAGGAUGUUGGCUUAGAAGCAGCCAUCAUUUAAAGAAAGCGUAAUAGCUCACUGGUCGAGUCGGCCUGCGCGGAAGAUGUAACGGGGCUAAACCAUGCACCGAAGCUGCGGCAGCGACGCUGAUGCGUUGUUGGGUAGGGGAGCGUUCUGUAAGCCUGCGAAGGUGUGCUGUGAGGCACGCUGGAGGUAUCAGAAGUGCGAAUGCUGACAUAAGUAACGAUAAAGCGGGUGAAAAGCCCGCUCGCCGGAAGACCAAGGGUUCCUGUCCAACGUUAAUCGGGGCAGGGUGAGUCGACCCCUAAGGCGAGGCCGAAAGGCGUAGUCGAUGGGAAACAGGUUAAUAUUCCUGUACUUGGUGUUACUGCGAAGGGGGGACGGAGAAGGCUAUGUUGGCCGGGCGACGGUUGUCCCGGUUUAAGCGUGUAGGCUGGUUUUCCAGGCAAAUCCGGAAAAUCAAGGCUGAGGCGUGAUGACGAGGCACUACGGUGCUGAAGCAACAAAUGCCCUGCUUCCAGGAAAAGCCUCUAAGCAUCAGGUAACAUCAAAUCGUACCCCAAACCGACACAGGUGGUCAGGUAGAGAAUACCAAGGCGCUUGAGAGAACUCGGGUGAAGGAACUAGGCAAAAUGGUGCCGUAACUUCGGGAGAAGGCACGCUGAUAUGUAGGUGAAGUCCCUCGCGGAUGGAGCUGAAAUCAGUCGAAGAUACCAGCUGGCUGCAACUGUUUAUUAAAAACACAGCACUGUGCAAACACGAAAGUGGACGUAUACGGUGUGACGCCUGCCCGGUGCCGGAAGGUUAAUUGAUGGGGUUAGCGCAAGCGAAGCUCUUGAUCGAAGCCCCGGUAAACGGCGGCCGUAACUAUAACGGUCCUAAGGUAGCGAAAUUCCUUGUCGGGUAAGUUCCGACCUGCACGAAUGGCGUAAUGAUGGCCAGGCUGUCUCCACCCGAGACUCAGUGAAAUUGAACUCGCUGUGAAGAUGCAGUGUACCCGCGGCAAGACGGAAAGACCCCGUGAACCUUUACUAUAGCUUGACACUGAACAUUGAGCCUUGAUGUGUAGGAUAGGUGGGAGGCUUUGAAGUGUGGACGCCAGUCUGCAUGGAGCCGACCUUGAAAUACCACCCUUUAAUGUUUGAUGUUCUAACGU
This 2200-nucleotide ribosomal RNA is filed under the name Escherichia coli. Its description in RNAcentral is "bacterial LSU rRNA". It matches the Rfam family "Bacterial large subunit ribosomal RNA", at positions 1 to 2228 of the family's 2925-position model. Lineage: Bacteria; Pseudomonadati; Pseudomonadota; Gammaproteobacteria; Enterobacterales; Enterobacteriaceae. The record is from RNAcentral.